GAUGAACGCUAGCGGGAGGCUUAACACAUGCAAGUCGAGGGGCAGCAUAGGGUAGCAAUACUCUGAUGGCGACCGGCAAACGGGUGAGUAACGCGUAUGCAACCUACCCUGUACAGGGGGAUAACCCGGAGAAAUUCGGACUAAUAUCCCGUAAUAAUAUCCGGAGGCAUCUUUGGAUAUUUAAAGUUUCGACGGUACGGGAUGGGCAUGCGUAACAUUAGCUGGUUGGUAAGGUAACGGCUUACCAAGGCUAUGAUGUUUAGGGGUCCUGAGAGGGUGGUCCCCCACACUGGUACUGAGACACGGACCAGACUCCUACGGGAGGCAGCAGUGAGGAAUAUUGGUCAAUGGGCGCAAGCCUGAACCAGCCAUCCCGCGUGCAGGAAGACGGCCCUAUGGGUUGUAAACUGCUUUUCCAGGGAGAGAAACUUACGCACGUGUUGCGUGACUGACGGUACCCUGGGAAUAAGCAUCGGCUAACUCCGUGCCAGCAGCCGCGGUAAUCUGUAGUCGUC
This 515-nucleotide ribosomal RNA is filed under the name uncultured bacterium. RNAcentral's name for it is "bacterial SSU rRNA". It matches the Rfam family "Bacterial small subunit ribosomal RNA", at positions 28 to 535 of the family's 1533-position model. The record is from RNAcentral.